Molecule: non-coding RNA, 1211 nt
Organism: Vicugna pacos (alpaca)
Lineage: Eukaryota; Metazoa; Chordata; Mammalia; Artiodactyla; Camelidae
Source: RefSeq, a predicted model, not a curated record
UGCACCACCCCACUUGGGUUAGGGAGAAGCAGCCAAAGAAGUUCUCCCAAGGAAGGAGACCUCGUCGCAGAAAGAUGCGAGGACAUUCAACAGGAAAUACUGUGUAGACGUUUGUCUCUCCCACCGGCCUACUGCUCCCUUUCUGGGUUUGAGCCACUUCUUUUAGAUCUAAAAAAAAUGCCUGUUUUAAUCUGUAACAGUCCCCGUUUCUCCUCUGCUCUUUUGCAGUUCAUUUAGUUGUCAAAGAACCUGAAACAUUUAUCUUAUAGAAGUUCCCAAUUUCUGGAUUUGAGUUAUUGCUUCUUCAGGGGGUCUGGAUCCUUUCUCUGCCCCCAGUAUUUCGUGGAAAGCGGUAGUUUCAUCAUCAUCAUUAUCACGUUACUACCAAGUCAUCCCAAUGUAGUUGGAAAGAACAUGCAUUGCAAUCUCAUGUUGUUGCUUGAGUUUGGGAAGUGAUUCCAUUACAAAGAAAAUGCAUGGACCUAUGCAGUAGCCAAGAAGGGCCAGCCCUGCAGCUGCAUUUAGAGCAGGGAGUUUCUGGAAACAGACCUUUCUGACGGUAAACUCCAACAAAGCAGAAAAUACAAGAAAAUGAUUAAGAGCAUGAACUUUGUAGCCAUGCCUGGAUUCAUACCUUGGACCAGCCCAGCUGAGUGACCUUGGAAAAUCUCCCGAACGUCUCUGAACUUUAACUUCCUUCUCAGUCAGAGGGCAAUCACAGCAGCACGUAUCUCCGAGGGCUGUUGGGAACAGCCAGUGAUUAAGACCGAGGACAAGGCCUGGAUGAGUAACAGGGUCCGCACAUCUCCACCACUGUUCCACCCUGUUCCAGCUGGGGAAGACGCAGGCUCAUUAGCGAACAAGAUAAGCCUCCUGGUGACUGAGGGGCGGGCCAGCUGGACCAGUGAGAGGUCGAACGGCUGCUCAGUGCCUCUGGAACAGGACCUCAGCAUCACCCCACACCCAGGGGGAGGAAGGAGAGUGACCAAAACUACAGAGCCAGCACCACCACCAGCCUGUCCUUGGAGCCAUCCUGCAGGGAAGACCCAGUCUGAGCAAACACUGUCCCAAUAUCAGAAUCCACUUUCCACAUCAAGAUCACCCAGUAAGCAAUCUAAAUAGUGAGUAAAGAGACCAGAGCUUUCUUCUGCCCCUUUCCCUCUCCUCCACCCCCAGGCAUACCCACCCCCCAUCAAAAGGAUACCUUCCCC